Astatotilapia calliptera (eastern happy) is the source of this 641-nucleotide long non-coding RNA. The record is from Ensembl. Lineage: Eukaryota; Metazoa; Chordata; Actinopteri; Cichliformes; Cichlidae.
GGAAUAUCAUGUGGCUCUCUUUGUGUCUUCGUAUGUUUGAUUUCUUUCCAGGCAUAAUGCCAGACAGCAACAGGUCACAACACAUCUGCCGGCCUUGGGCAGUAAUAUUAAGAUUGGUGUACAGCACCGACUGUCCGAGGCAGCCCUUCAUCCCCGUCUAUAUGUGUUUUUUCAUACUCGUACCCAUCUUGUUGGCACUGAGCUGGUGCUACAACUGUUGCAACAUCGUUCUGUGCUCUGUGGCCAUCAUCUUCUAUGUUUGCUGGUUCAUCACAGGUAAUGUGAUGAUCUACUCCAUUUACGAACCGAACUACAAUAAAAACACAACAAAAGCCGAUCCAUACUGCAACAAGACGCUCUACCUGUUUGCAUUUUGGAGCACCAACCUGACCUACAUCCUGUUAGGUGUGCUCCUCUUGUCCUAUUGCUGUCGUAAGCAACGAGAGGCUGAUGAUGAUAACACUCGGAGUCUGCUGCGUGGAUGAAAAGAAAACUAAUAAAUAAAAAAUGAAGCUUUGAACAUGUUGGAAUUUGGCUUUGAUAUGUGUCUUAUAUAUGUUUAGAGCUUUUAAUAACACAACACACUUUUUUCUUUUCAGAGAAAUGUCACAAUUUACAGGUAAAAUACAAAGUUUAGUGGA